GAUGAACGCUGGCGGCGUGCCUAAUACAUGCAAGUCGAGCGAACAGACGAGGAGCUUGCUCCUCUUACGUUAGCGGCGGACGGGUGAGUAACACGUGGAUAAUUUCCCUAUAAGACUGGGAUAACUUCGGGAAACCGGAGCUAAUCCCGGAUAAUAUAUUGAACCGCAUGGUUCAAUAGUUUAAGACGGAUUUGCUGUCACUUAUAGAUGGAUCCGCGCCGCAUUAGCUAGUUGGUAAGGUAACGGCUUACCAAGGCAACGAUGCGUAGCCGACCUGAGAGGGUGGUCGGCCAGACGGGAACUGAGACACGGUACAGACACCGACGGGAGGCCGCAGUAGGGAAUCUUCCGCAAUGCGGGAGAGAGUGAUGGAGCAACGCCGCGUGAGUGAUGAAGGUCCUCCGAUCGGAAAACUCUGAUAUUAGGGAAGAACAAAUGUGUAAGUAACUAUGCACGUCUUGACGGUACCUAAUCAGAAAGCCCCGGCUAACUACGUG
Molecule: ribosomal RNA, 497 nt
Filed under: uncultured bacterium
Lineage: Bacteria
Description: partial 16S ribosomal RNA
Rfam family: Bacterial small subunit ribosomal RNA
Source: RNAcentral